CCUAGUAGCUAUAAAUCCCUAUGAACAGCUGCCUAUUUAUGGAGAAGAUAUUAUUAAUGCAUACAGUGGUCAGAACAUGGGUGAUAUGGAUCCACAUAUCUUUGCAGUAGCUGAAGAAGCUUACAAGCAAAUGGCCAGAGAUGAGCGAAAUCAGUCCAUCAUCGUAAGUGGAGAGUCUGGGGCAGGAAAAACAGUCUCAGCUAAGUAUGCCAUGCGAUACUUUGCAACUGUGAGUGGUUCUGCCAGUGAGGCCAAUGUGGAGGAAAAGGUCUUGGCCUCCAACCCCAUCAUGGAGGUAAGACAGCGAGUCUUCGGCUUUCUUCCUAUAUUCUCUUGAUAAGAAACAUGCUCAAAAAAUUGAUUGAUACAGCAUGUCUCAGAAAGCCUGGGGUCUCCUAGCCACUAAAAUUAAGAAAAUACUUUUCCACAUGUUUAU
Molecule: small RNA, 436 nt
Filed under: Pan troglodytes (chimpanzee)
Lineage: Eukaryota; Metazoa; Chordata; Mammalia; Primates; Hominidae
Description: retained intron
Source: RNAcentral